AUAUAUAUAUAUAUAUAUAUCAUUUUGACUCUAUCAUAUUCAUAUAUAACAAAUAAAUCAAGGUUGUGAGGAAUCACUUGUAGAAGAUAGCUAAUUGAGUUGGUCUCCUGUGAGACCGGAGAGGGCGCGACCACGCCUGACAACGCUAGCAGGGCGCAAGGGCGGCUUUGGCGAACCCGUGGCCCAGGGCGCGGCAACG
Molecule: long non-coding RNA, 199 nt
Filed under: Salvia miltiorrhiza (redroot sage)
Lineage: Eukaryota; Viridiplantae; Streptophyta; Magnoliopsida; Lamiales; Lamiaceae
Description: long non-coding RNA (SMIL_LNC011759)
Source: RNAcentral